Molecule: long non-coding RNA, 1425 nt
Filed under: Anas platyrhynchos platyrhynchos (common mallard)
Lineage: Eukaryota; Metazoa; Chordata; Aves; Anseriformes; Anatidae
Description: lncRNA (ENSAPLG00000020191.1)
Source: RNAcentral
UUUUAUUUUUAUACCACUUUUCUAAGGCAAACGGCUGCAAGAGUGGGAAGAUAUAGUUCUCUGACUUCUUAGACACCAGCAGUAGGGUCUAGCAUGAAAACAUUCCAUUCAAGGGAAAGAAAAAAGAAAUACACAUACAUAAAUAAAUCUUAAAUAAGAAGGUGUUGAAAUACAUAUGAACAAAUGUGAAAAAACAUAUCAGGAUAAUAUUUUUGAACAGUAUUAAUUGUCAUUUCAAGUGCUUUUAGACCAUUUCAAAAGAGGAUAUUCUGUUUCUGAAAUGGCACAUUCCCAGCCAAAUGAAUGCAAGUGGCAUCAGCAAAAGAACUCAGGACCUCCGGCUCUAGAAAUAGAAAUCGUCAAAAAGGGCAAAGCAGCAGCUCUGGUAGCUCAGCCAAAACAAGAACGUGGUGCUCAUGAACACAGCUUUUAUUGCAUAUAUAUAUGUGUGUAUAUAUAUAUAUGUAUGUAUAUCACUCUUGAGAAGAUAUGUCAAGUAUAUAAAAAUAAAUUUCAAUCUGAAUCCAGUUCACCUUGACACCCAAAUAUUUUAGCCCAGCUACCCUUACAUGUAGCUGGUAGCUUACAAAAUAUAAACUGGUGGGUAUUUUAUCCUUAGCAAAACUAAGGAACUCAUGGAGCAGGAACUCGUUCAAAAAGGCACUGUUAGUGUUUGCCCACCACUUGACAGCUUCCUCCAAGAGUCAUCAUUUGAAACAAUACAAAGUAGUUGGUCAUAGCAUGUCUUAUAUUACAGCCCAUACUUAUACACCUCCUUUUCAAUUACAAAUGUCACAAGAAGGAACAAUGUAAUUCCACUGACUUUCAAAAGUCUGAAAUUUGACUCAGUUAAAGAUUUAAAUUUAGAUUAAAUUGGGCAACAUUUCUAAUUGAAUUUCAACAUUUUAAAAGGUAAUGCCUUUGUGUCAGAAACACUAUAUCUAAUGACUUAUUUAAUACAUAUAUUUGAUUGGCUUACUGCUGUUUUAAAUUUAAUGGUUUCCUCUUUCAAAUGAUUUUCUGGUAUGUUGCAGCACUAUUUUUAAUUUUCUUGUAGUUGUUGUUUCCUUAAAGAUUUAACAGAAAUCUAAGGUUUUCAAGGAAGGAAUUAAAUCUGGUUGCAUGUUUGUAUAUGAUCUCUACAAGAACUCCUCGGUGUUACUGUGAUGAAGCACACAGACAGAAAUUUUGAAAUACAACAGAAGUAGCAACCCAAAACUGGAUUUUGUUCAGUUCUACUAAUUUAACAUGGAUGCAAUCUCACCAACAAAGAAUUGUUGUACAGGGCAAAAAGUUACCUCUGAUCAUAUCUACAGUUUUUUUAUAUGGACUACAGAUCAUCCUGCCAGCUGGGUUACUUCAAUGUAUUUGAAAUCUAAUAUAAAAAUUAAGAUAUUUAGAAAAAUAAAACUAAUGUGAAAUACA